UGUCAUUUCACAUUAGCUUUAUCGAAUGCCACUCGAUCUAUGUCAUUGUGCCACUCUAUUCUUUUGCUCACUUUGGGUGCUCACUUUUCUCUCAUGCAUACAUAUAGGGUUUUAACUCUCAUAAGGUUCUUAACCAUCACAUUAUGCAAGUUGUACUCACAAUCAUGCAUCAUCACAUUCUUUUCAUUACUUUACCCUAAAAUGCAUGCAACAAUACAUAUAACAUAUGCUCAAAGAAUGACACAUUAGGCAUAGAGAGAAUUUCAAUGAGUUUGAGAAGCACCACCCACCUUGUAGGUCUCUUUAGGUGCUCCGAUGAUUUUCUUAGGAUUUUUAGAUGCCUCGUCCUUUACCUGCGGCAAAACGAACCCUUAUUAGGCCAUUUUGCCCAUAACUUUUCAUACACUUUUCGAAAUGCUAUUCCGAGCGCACCAACGCGUCGGAAAUACCCCCAAUUAGAUUUUUAGAGGGUCAAUUGCACUUAGAAACCUUCAUGAGCAAAAGCCCCAAUUUGGGUGCCCUAGCUCCAAUGUAUAUCAAAACCUAGGGUUUGAUCUCAUUGGGAAGCAAAAGUAGCUUCAUUAUACUCUAAAUAGCCCAUUAGAAUCAUUCUUAGGCUUUCCAAAACCCUAGUUUGGAUUUCACCAUUAGAGGUGGCCAAAGCUCACCUCUAUAGCAAGCCAAGGUUUUGAUCUCAAAAGAAGCAAAAGAAAGCUUCAAAAGUCUUUAAUCAUUCCAUUAAAACCCAUUUCUAGGUUAUUCAAAACUCAUUCUAGGGUUUUUCUACAAUAUAGAUCAAAGCUUACCUUGUAAGCUUUCCUUUCUUGCCCUAGAGAGGAAGAAGAUGAGGCUCCUUUGCUCCAAAAGCUUCUUCUUCACCUUCUUCUCCUUCUUUGUCUUCCCUUCUUUCCUUCUUCUUCUUUUCCUUCUUUGUCUUCUAGAGAGAGAAAGGGAGAGAAGAGAGUGUGAGAGGGAGUGGAAUGAGAGGAAAAAACCCCUCAGCCCACUAACAUAGCUCAAUGGGUUGCAAAAAUGCUAAUAAACCCCUCAACUUUUAUCUCUGUGCACUGCCUGGACUGGGCAGUUUUCGCAGGCAGAGACCGGUCUCCCUGAGCAGGGACCGGUCCCCGAAGGCCCGCCCUG
RNAcentral lists this long non-coding RNA (1143 nucleotides) under Ananas comosus (pineapple). RNAcentral's name for it is "long non-coding RNA (ACOM_LNC043849)". Lineage: Eukaryota; Viridiplantae; Streptophyta; Magnoliopsida; Poales; Bromeliaceae. The record is from RNAcentral.